Molecule: long non-coding RNA, 275 nt
Filed under: Medicago truncatula (barrel medic)
Lineage: Eukaryota; Viridiplantae; Streptophyta; Magnoliopsida; Fabales; Fabaceae
Description: long non-coding RNA (MTRU_LNC005135)
Source: RNAcentral
UGCUAACGCACGUGUCAUUUAAAAAAGAUAAUAUUCACUGAAAAAAUAAGACAUUGUAGUUCGCGUGAAUCUAAAAAUUGUCGUGAAUCAAAGCAAAAUGUCAAUACCAAAGACUUUGUUAUUGUUCCAUAAUUCUAGUACGUAGUUCCUGUUACUUUAAAAUAACAUAUAAUUUUGAAAGGGAAAUUGAAGUUCGUUGACAUGCAAAUAGUUUCAAUAAGUAAGAAAAUGAAUAGUACACAAAAAAGUCCUACACAUUACGGAAAACUUCUNNN